AGUGAACGCUGGCGGUAGGCCUAACACAUGCAAGUCGAACGGCAGCACAGUAAGAGCUUGCUCUUACGGGUGGCGAGUGGCGGACGGGUGAGGAAUACAUCGGAAUCUACUUUUUCGUGGGGGAUAACGUAGGGAAACUUACGCUAAUACCGCAUACGACCUACGGGUGAAAGCAGGGGAUCUUCGGACCUUGCGCGAUUGAAUGAGCCGAUGUCGGAUUAGCUAGUUGGCGGGGUAAAGGCCCACCAAGGCGACGAUCCGUAGCUGGUCUGAGAGGAUGAUCAGCCACACUGGAACUGAGACACAGUCCAGACUCCUAAGGGAGGCAGCAGUGGGGAAUAUUGGACAAUGGGCGCAAGCCUGAUCCAGCCAUACCGCGUGGGUGAAGAAGGCCUUCGGGUUGUAAAGCCCUUUUGUUGGGAAAGAAAAGCAGCAGGUUAAUAUCCCGCUGUUCUGACGGUACCCAAAGAAUAAGCACCGGCUAACUUCGUG
This 492-nucleotide ribosomal RNA is filed under the name uncultured bacterium. Its description in RNAcentral is "partial 16S ribosomal RNA". It matches the Rfam family "Bacterial small subunit ribosomal RNA", at positions 29 to 507 of the family's 1533-position model. The record is from RNAcentral.